UGGGAAUUUUGGACAAUGGGCGCAAGCCUGAUCCAGCCAUGCCGCGUGCGGGAAGAAGGCCUUCGGGUUGUAAACCGCUUUUGUCAGGGAAGAAAUCUUCUGAGUUAAUACCUCGGGAGGAUGACGGUACCUGAAGAAUAAGCACCGGCUAACUACGUGCCAGCAGCCGCGGUAAUACGUAGGGUGCAAGCGUUAAUCGGAAUUACUGGGCGUAAAGCGUGCGCAGGCGGUUUUGUAAGACAGAGGUGAAAUCCCCGGGCUCAACCUGGGAACUGCCUUUGUGACUGCAAGGCUUGAGUGCGGCAGAGGGGGAUGGAAUUCCGCGUGUAGCAGUGAAAUGCGUAGAUAUGCGGAGGAACACCGAUGGCGAAGGCAAUCCCCUGGGCCUGCACUGACGCUCAUGCACGAAAGCGUGGGGAGCAAAACAGGAUUAGAUACCCUGGUAGUCCACGCCCUAAAACGAUGUCAACUGGUUGUUGGGAAGGUUCCUUCUCAGUAACGUAGCCAACGCGUGAAAGUUGACCGCCUGGGGAGUACGGCCGCAAGGUUGAAACUU
RNAcentral lists this ribosomal RNA (556 nucleotides) under uncultured bacterium. RNAcentral describes it as "partial 16S ribosomal RNA". It matches the Rfam family "Bacterial small subunit ribosomal RNA", at positions 356 to 902 of the family's 1533-position model. The record is from RNAcentral.